AUGCCUGGCCCCAGACAGUGGCAGCGUGCGGAGGGGCAGAGGCUCUCCUGCUCACAUCCAUCCAUCCGCAAGCACAUCACAAGCUCGAGGAAUCCCUCUCCGGCGCGCCCACGCCGCGGCAGGCACUGCGGGCGUCCCAGCGUGUGCCGAGACGCCUUCCCAGCCCGCCCGCGAUCGCCGAGGAAGCGCCUGCGAGGCAGUAUUCCCCUGCGCUGGGGGGAGGGAAGAGCAGCGGUGGCUGUUAGCCAGGCAUUGCUUUCUGCUGGCAACCACCGCAUCCCCAUGGGCAGGGCUGAAUUACAAGCGCACGGCGCCGCUCCCCGGGCCCCAGCCCGGGUACCGACCCCUUCUGCACCUCAGCGCUCAGGUAAACAGGGCAGUCGCCCUCUGGACAAGCUGCCCGAGCAGGGCAUGCUCCCCGCACCGCGCCUGGGAAGCCUGGUGGGGCUGGCGGGCUCAGGAGACCGUGCUGCAUCAGCAGCCGAGCGCAGACAGCAUGCAGCUCACCUUCCACCUGCAGGGACUGCUGCGGGGGGAGGGAGGGACGGAAGUGACUGGCAGCUGAGGGAAAAGAAGCCCGAGCAGGAAAAUCAGGGUUAUUCCCACCACUGUCUCCCUCCUGACCUUGGACAACCCUGUGCCUCAGUUUACCCGGGGAGAGCAGUCAGCAUCAAUGCCAGAAUGGGGGAGGAAGGAGGGUGGCCACCCGCAGUUAGGCAGAGACACCAAGGUCCCAAGGAACAAAGUCACCCCAAAAGCCUGGGGGCAGGAGCGAGAGCCAGGCACGGCCGAGGCACUGGAGGGGAAGAAAAGCAGGGAAGGGGGCGAGUCCUUUUGCAUUUCCCCUUGCCCACACAGGCAGAGGGCAGAGCCCGGCAGAGAAGGGCAAACUCCGCUGCUCCCCUCCGAGCAUCGGGGGCCGCUGCCUGCUGCCGCCCCCAGCCUUGGAGAAGGAAAGGGGAGAGAGCAACGCCGCGGGACGGUGCCCCCCGCUCAUCACUUCCCCCGAGGGGAGGGGCGGACGGGCCCGGAGGCUGCAGCGCUGCACCGCCGGCAGCCGCCCGCUACCGGCCGCCCCCCAAACUGGUGGCCACGCGUGGGGCGCCCCCGCAGCUCCCUCCGCAGGACGGCUUCCGAAAGGCGCAGGAGCCCCGCUGCAUCGCGCCGCGGCCGCAACAGCUCGAGUCCUUCGCCCUCAUCCCCGCCGAGGAGGACGCAAACCCUGCGCGGAGCCGCAGCGCGCCCCACGCACCC
Molecule: long non-coding RNA, 1254 nt
Filed under: Apteryx haastii (Great spotted kiwi)
Lineage: Eukaryota; Metazoa; Chordata; Aves; Apterygiformes; Apterygidae
Description: lncRNA (ENSAHAG00000007008.1)
Source: RNAcentral